GACACACAGAGAGAAGAUGGCCAUGCAAAGACAGAGGCAGAAAUUGGAGUGAUGUAGCUACAAGGCAAGGGAUGCCAAUGAUUGCCAGCAACCACUAAAAGCUGGGAAGAGGCAGGGGAGGGUCCUUCUCCAGAGCCUUCAGAAGGAACAUAGCCCUGAAGACUCCGUGGUUUUGCACUUCUAGUCUUCAUAACUAAAACACAGACAUUGGAAGACGUAUGAGACUACGGAAACUAAUUUUCUCAAGGUCAACAAAUAGAGUUGGAAAAUAACGAAGGAACAAAGAAAUGCUGACAGAAAAUGAAUUUCAUACUCCAGUAGUGUUACCAAACUACAUUUCCCCAUCAUGGUAGCCUAAGCCAGGAAGUGGAGAAAAGAGAAGGAUGUCAUUAAGUGGAAAAUAAUCAGGGCAUUUUGAGAGUGGUGUUUUUGGCCGUCGAGAUAAGUCAGUCAUUCUGAGGUAUGGAUGGACAGAGAGCAAGCACUGGCAAGAACAAGAAGAGACGAAUAGGUCGGGCUCUCUCUGUGGGUAUAAAACUCUGAGCAGUUCACUUCAAUUCAUUGGAUCUUGGUGGGCCUCAGACCCACUAAUUACUAUAGUUUCUUGAGGCCUCAAGGUUCAUUUUCUAAAGAAGAACUCCGGCCACGUUCAUUUAUAGCUAUCUUUUAAAAAUACCCAAAUCUGGCUGCGCAGUGGCUCACGCCUGUAAUCCCAGCACUUUGGGAGGGUGAGGUGGGAGGAUUGCUUUAGACCAGCAUGGGCAACACAGCAAGACCCCAUCUCUACAAAAAAUAAAUAAAUAAAUAAAAAUUAGCUGGGUGAAGUUGUGUGUGCCUAUAGUUCCAGCUACUCAGGAGGUUGAGGCAGGAGAAUUGCUUGAGCC
RNAcentral lists this long non-coding RNA (884 nucleotides) under Homo sapiens (human). RNAcentral describes it as "HSALNT0321480". The record is from RNAcentral. Lineage: Eukaryota; Metazoa; Chordata; Mammalia; Primates; Hominidae.